RNAcentral lists this ribosomal RNA (425 nucleotides) under Verrucomicrobiota bacterium. RNAcentral describes it as "Verrucomicrobia bacterium partial 16S ribosomal RNA". It matches the Rfam family "Bacterial small subunit ribosomal RNA", at positions 355 to 776 of the family's 1533-position model. The record is from RNAcentral. Lineage: Bacteria; Pseudomonadati; Verrucomicrobiota.
UGAGGAAUAUUGGUCAAUGGGCGAGAGCCUGAACCAGCCAAGUCGCGUGAAGGAAGACUGCCCGCAAGGGUUGUAAACUUCUUUUGUAUGGGAUUAAAGUCACCUACGUGUAGGUGUUUGCAGUUACCAUACGAAUAAGCAUCGGCUAACUCCGUGCCAGCAGCCGCGGUAAUACGGAGGAUGCGAGCGUUAUCCGGAAUUAUUGGGUUUAAAGGGAGCGUAGGCUGGAGAUUAAGUGUGUUGUGAAAUGUAGACGCUCAACGUCUGAAUUGCAGCGCAUACUGGUUUCCUUGAGUACGCACAACGUUGGCGGAAUUCGUCGUGUAGCGGUGAAAUGCUUAGAUAUGACGAAGAACUCCGAUUGCGAAGGCAGCUUACGGGAGCGCAACUGACGCUGAAGCUCGAAGGUGCGGGUAUCGAACAGG